Molecule: long non-coding RNA, 1270 nt
Organism: Herpailurus yagouaroundi (jaguarundi)
Lineage: Eukaryota; Metazoa; Chordata; Mammalia; Carnivora; Felidae
Exons: 2
Source: RefSeq, a predicted model, not a curated record
AGGAGGGGGCCUGCUGAGAGGGGAUGUCAUACGUUGCCAUGGGAACAAUGAUCAGGAAAGGUCUCAAGGUUGCUGUGACCUUCCCCUAGCCUUACACUUGAGAUUUGUACCAGAAGUGGGUGGCCCCAAAGCAAGGAUUACAAACUGACCAGGCCCUGGAGAAGACUAGCUAUCUCCACGCAGGCUUAUUGGAAGUGCACAGAGAGCUGAGUUAAUUAUUUACCGUAGAGAUUUUUUUUUUCUAAGAGCAAAGCCUCCUUGGGAAACCAAACUUAGAUCUAGAGAAGGCUUGGCGAAGAUUCAGAAGUGAGGGGGCAGUAUCAGUCUCUUCCAUGAGAACAGAGACCUUUCCAGUACUGUUCACUGCCUGAUUUCCAACUCCUGGAAUUGAGCCUGGUUCUCUGCGGGUCCUGGGUAACUAUUUGAAAAACUGAAGGAAGGUGGGUGUGGCCUUGAGCCAGCCAGCGUUCUCUUUCGUAGUCACGAAUACUUACCUGCGGUGUAAUUUUCCCACUUCUUCCAUUUACCCCUUUCGCAUUAUCUCCCUGCCCCCAAUUCUCCAGUGGCUCCCCAUCUCCGGCAAGAUAAAAUCAAUCAGAAACCCACUGCUGUCAAUCACCUGUCCCUUCUCUUUUGCUAAAGCUUUUUAUUUAUUUAUUUUACUGUUCCAGCAGUACUGAAAUAGCUCCGUCAUUUUAGAAAAUGUGCUUCCUUACACAUCUGUGUCCUCCCCUGCCUGUUUCCCUUCUAUCUGACAGCUCCUACUUCUUCCCCAUGAAGCAUAUAACCUCCUCAAGAAAGUCCUCCAUCACUCAGGUAAGCAGACUUCCUAGCCCCCCCCCUGCCCCCCCCACCCAUUCUGUCCCCUAAGCUUGUCAUAUAGUGCUGUUACUUUCUGUUUAGGGUUCAGUCUCCCUUGGGUAGAGUUGCUUAUCUUUUUCUCAAUGGAUAUUAGGUACCUAGUUCAGCGAUUGCAGAUAUUAAGAAAACAUCCUAUUAGUUGAUUAAAUGUUGAAAGUGCCCCUUUCGAGAGUGAUUAUAUCAAUCAUUAUGUAUUGGUCCCCUAGGUAUUCACAGAAAGAAUUGCAGUUAUAUAACAACAGAAACUUAACGUUUAUUGGGUCCCAACUAGGUGCCAAAUAUUACAUCAAGUGGUUUUCAUUUCUUGUUUAAUCCCCACAACAAACCUGAGAGGUAGAUAUUAUCAUUUCCAUUUUAUUGGUGAAAGAACUAAAGCUCAAAGGUGAAAUAAUUGCACAAAUUUACACAA